This 349-nucleotide ribosomal RNA is filed under the name uncultured bacterium. RNAcentral describes it as "bacterial SSU rRNA". It matches the Rfam family "Bacterial small subunit ribosomal RNA", at positions 1 to 334 of the family's 1533-position model. The record is from RNAcentral.
CGCGAGUAUUCAGAGUUUGAUCCUGGCUCAGGAUGAACGCUAGCGGCAGGCUUAACACAUGCAAGUCGAGGGGCAGCAUGACACGGAGAUUCGUCAAAGUGUUGAUGGCGACCGGCGCAAGGGUGCGUAACGCGUGAGCAACUUGCCCGUUUCUGGGGGAUAACCGGUGGAAGCGCCGACUAAUACCCCAUAGUAUGUUUUUAAGGCAUCUUUUAGACAUUAAAGAAUUUCGGAAACGGAUAGGCUCGCGUGACAUUAGCUAGAUGGCGGGGUAACGGCCCACCAUGGCGACGAUGUCUAGGGGUUCUGAGAGGAAGGUCCCCCACACUGGAACUGAGACACGGUCCAG